GCCUUUGUCUCUAGCUGCAGCCGGCGUUUCAGGUCUCGUCUUCACUGGUCUGUGUCCUAUUCUCCUGGAGGCCCAGCCUCUGUGGCCCUGUGACCUGCAGGUAUUGGGAGAUCCACAGCUAAAACCCCAGGACACCCUGGAAGCAUAGAAAUGUCUCCCUCUGAUGCCGAGCCGAAGCUGGACUGUACUGCUGCCAUCUCGGCUCACUGCAACCUCCCUGCCUGAUUCUCCUGCCUCAGCCUGCCGAGUGCCUGCGAUUGCAGGUGCGCGCCGCCACGCCUGACUGGUUUUCGUACUUUUUUGGUGGAGACGGGGUUUCGCUGUGUUGGCCGGGCUGGUCUCCAGCUCCUAACCGCGAGUGAUCCGCCAGCCUCGGCCUCCUGAGGUGCCGGGAUUGCAGACGGAGUCUCGUUCACUCAGUGCUCAAUGUUGCCCAGGCUGGAGUGCAGUGGCGUGAUCUCAGCUGGCUACAACCUCCACCUCCCAGCCGCCUGCCUUGGCCUCCCAAAGUACCGAGAUUGCAGCCUCUGCCCGGCCGCCACCCCGUCUGGGAAGUGAGGAGCGUCUCUGCCUGGCCGCCCAUCGUCUGGGAUGUGAGGGGCCCCUCUGCCUGGCUGCCCAGUCUGAAAGUGAGGAGGGUCUCUGCCCGGCCGCCAUCCCAUCUAGGAAGUGACGAGCACCUCUUCCCAGCCACCAUCCCAUCUAGGAAGCAAGGAGCGUCUCUGCCCGGCCGCCCAUCGUAUGAGAUGUGGGGAGCGCCUCUGCCCCGCUGCCCCGUCUGGGAUAUGAGGAGCGCCUCUGCCCAGCCGCGACCCCGUCUGGGAGGUGAGGAGCGUCUCUGCCUGGCCGCCCCAUCUGAGAGG
RNAcentral lists this long non-coding RNA (863 nucleotides) under Homo sapiens (human). RNAcentral's name for it is "HSALNT0396545". Lineage: Eukaryota; Metazoa; Chordata; Mammalia; Primates; Hominidae. The record is from RNAcentral.